UCCUACACGUUGGCUUCCUCAACAAGCCAUUAGACUUUCUCAUCCCUCUCUUCACCCGUCAGCUUCCUCAAGAAGCUAAGUGGAUUCCUCUUUCUUACCCCACACGUCGGAUCCAAGGAAAAGAGAAACACAAUCCUCUCAUUUUCCCUUGCACCACCAACGGCCUCCAAGACAAAAACCAGUAAAUUUCUUCCCCACCUCUCUUCAUUCGUCGAUUCCAAGGCACCCGAAGGAGAGAAAAUCUCCUCCAGUGUUCCUUCACACGAGAAACCACUCGUCUCUUCCCCAAUCGCGCGACCUCUUCUUUUCCUCAAGCCGAUUCUUCCAUUUCGUAAGCCCAAGUCUCCCACCAAAAAUCUCCAGGGGAAAAUCAACCUCCUUUGAGAUUUCGGAUUUUUUCUCUUCCUCUUCUCAUUGCUAUGUUUCCAUGGCUUGAAAAGGGGAUCAAAUCAGGAGUUUAUUUUCAAGAUUCAAGGAACUUACUUGUAAAGCCACGAGGUAUGAAUGAUGAGGCUGUGGAGCUAGGCACUGCUGAGGAGGGAAGGGCUGAUGCUUAGAAUUCCCUGUCGGUUCAAUUUGAUGAUAAUGGUUAUGUUUUAUAUUUUAUGAUGAGUCUCAUGUUGGGAUGUUUUGUUGGUUUGACUUUAAGAUAAUAUGUCCUUGGGCAUGAUGUAGGUAUUGUGGUGGGAUGAUGGUAAUAGUGUAACUUCUAUAGUGGGGUGAUGGUAACCCCACAUAAGAAGGUUAAAUGUCUUUUGGGUGUGUUGUAGGGAUGGAGUCCCCUUUUUAUUAGAACUAGCGAUGUUUUAAAUGAAUGAAUGGUGGACUUUGAGAGUCCUUUGGGUAA
Molecule: long non-coding RNA, 847 nt
Organism: Juglans regia (Persian walnut)
Lineage: Eukaryota; Viridiplantae; Streptophyta; Magnoliopsida; Fagales; Juglandaceae
Exons: 4
Source: RefSeq, a predicted model, not a curated record